Molecule: long non-coding RNA, 800 nt
Filed under: Vigna radiata
Lineage: Eukaryota; Viridiplantae; Streptophyta; Magnoliopsida; Fabales; Fabaceae
Description: long non-coding RNA (VRAD_LNC005836)
Source: RNAcentral
GGGGAAAUCACUUAUGUGCAUCAAUGAUGUAAUGCUCCAACCAUAAGUAAAGGAGCAAAGAGAAGAGAAAGAGAAAAAAUAUGUUGGAUGAGCAUGCAACGUGGAGAAUGAAGAAAAAGAAAAGUAAGAAAAAAGCAGGAAAAUGAAGUGAAAGGAAUGGAAGAGUCUUACAGAGACUUGCGUUUUUCCAUGAAGCUGACAGGAUUGGAGGUGUAGCCACAAGCAAUGAACUCAAGGGUUUCUCCAAGUAAAGGCCAACCUUUAUUACCUCUGGGAACUUUCCCCUCCUCCUUCUUCUUCUUCUUCUUCUUCUUCUUCUGUUUCAGCCUGUCACCGUUCUCCUUUUUGACCCACAGAAACCAGUAGCAGCAGCAUGUAAGGAUGAUGAUACCCAUCAGAAUCCAGAGUCGAAUAAUCCAUUCCAUGACAGAGAGAAUGAAAGAAAGUGUUGUAAGAAUGAGUUUGAGUUCAUGCAGAGGUGAAAAAAGAGAGAGAAGGAGGUUGGAAGAAACUUCUUUUUGUCCUUCCUUAUAAAUGAGAGUGGGGUUAGACAUAUUGAGAAGGAGAUUCUGAAGAUCUAAGGCUUGAAGCAAUCAUUUAAUGUGAUGGCCUUAUUGGGUUCACCUAAUCAACCCUCAUCGUUUAUUUUGUCUUCACUCAUUUUAGAUACUUCUUAAUCCCACUUCUUUCCCAUCUCCUACUAACCCCACCCAUGCCUUUGCCUUCUUCUACCUCCCCUCCAAUUAUUUUUCUCUCUCUCUUACAUCUUUCUCUCUCUUCCUUUAAUCUAUAAAUAAUAA